Molecule: long non-coding RNA, 649 nt
Organism: Populus trichocarpa (black cottonwood)
Lineage: Eukaryota; Viridiplantae; Streptophyta; Magnoliopsida; Malpighiales; Salicaceae
Exons: 3
Source: RefSeq, a predicted model, not a curated record
UAGAGAAUUCGGUUAUAGAGAGGGGUGCAGAAUUUGGAAGAAACAAUAAUACUCCGGUAUCUCUAGAAUCCACCGUUGGAUCAUUCUGAGGUUUUGUUAUAUUGUUCUUCUCACACUCCUCUACUAACUGACCGGAGGGAUUUGAAGGAACACAAUCCAUUUGACAGAAAUCAUCCUCUGAACUUUUCUAGAAAACAAAAGGAAAUAAUUCUGCAGAACAGUUUUGGUCGCCGGCUGAUUUCUCUCCCAUCCACCGUUAGAUCAUGCUCAUUCUUGGAUAUGUGGUGCGUCUAGAUGUUGCCUUCAAUCGGGAUGGUGGAGAUCGGAAAAUCAUUCUCUGGCAAGGUGUCGGUCAUAUUGAACAAUAGCUCGUCUAUUUUCAGGGGAAGCUAUGGGACUGGACAAUUGCAUGGAGUGGAAGCACGUGCACCUAUUCUAGGUCCAACAAGGUCGUGUCAAGAGUGAUACUAGUUUAGUUGUCUUUUGCUUUUGACCAUGUAAAUUAUUUGUAAAUUAAAAGACUUAUCUCCUAAAACUUGAGAUGUAAUAUCAAUCCGUAAAUUUAAAUGUAUGUCUUUAAUCUAAUGGUUGAAACUCUAAGUACCUAUUUAACCAUGCAUGUUUAUAGUUGAAAUUGAAUCUUUCAUUU